This 1476-nucleotide ribosomal RNA is filed under the name uncultured prokaryote. RNAcentral's name for it is "partial 16S ribosomal RNA". It matches the Rfam family "Bacterial small subunit ribosomal RNA". The record is from RNAcentral.
AACGAACGCUGGCGGCGUGCCUAACACAUGCAAGUCGUGCGAGAAAGUUUCCUUCGGGAGGCGAGUACAGCGGCGCACGGGUGAGUAACACGUAGGUAACCUACCUCGUAGUCCGGAAUAACUAGGGGAAACCCUUGCUAAUGCCGGAUAAGACCACGGCCACCUCGGUGGCUGCGGCCAAAGGCGGCCUCUACUUGUAAGCUGUCGCUAUGAGAUGGGCCUGCGGCCCAUUAGCUUGUUGGUAGGGUAACGGCCUACCAAGGCUGUGAUGGGUAGCUGGUCUGAGAGGAUGAUCAGCCACACUGGGACUGAGACACGGCCCAGACUCCUACGGGAGGCAGCAGUGGGGAAUAUUGCGCAAUGGGGGAAACCCUGACGCAGCGACGCCGCGUGGGUGAUGAAGGCCUUCGGGUCGUAAAGCCCUGUCGUAAGGGAAGAAAUGUUGGAUGGUUAAUAUCCAUUCAGCUUGACGGUACCUUACAAGAAAGCACCGGCUAACUCCGUGCCAGCAGCCGCGGUAAUACGGAGGGUGCAAGCGUUGUUCGGAAUCACUGGGCGUAAAGCGCGUGCAGGCGGCUGGUUAAGUCUGGUGUGAAAGCCCGGGGCUCACCCCCGGAAGUGCGCUGGAAACUGGCCAGCUAGAGUAUGGGAGAGGGAAGUGGAAUUCCUGGUGUAGCGGUGAAAUGCGUAGAUAUCAGGAGGAACACCGGCGGCGAAGGCAGCCCCCUGGGUCAACACUGACGCUCAGGCACGAAAGCAUGGGGAGCAAACAGGAUUAGAUACCCUGGUAGUCCAUGCCCUAAACGAUGUCAACUAGUUGUCGGGUCUUAACGGGCUUGGUAACGUAGCUAACGCGUGAAGUUGACCGCCUGGGGAGUACGAUCGCAAGAUUAAAACUCAAAGGAAUUGACGGGGACCCGCACAAGCGGUGGAUUAUGUGGAUUAAUUCGAUGCAACGCGAAAAACCUUACCUACCCUUGACAUGUAUUGAAACCCGCAGAGAUGUGGGUGUGCCCGAAAGGGAACGAUAACACAGGUGCUGCAUGGCUGUCGUCAGCUCGUGUCGUGAGAUGUUGGGUUAAGUCCCGCAACGAGCGCAACCCUUGUCAUUAGUUGCCAUCAUUGGGCACUUUAAUGAGACUGCCGGUGAUAAACCGGAGGAAGGUGGGGAUGACGUCAAGUCCUCAUGGCCCUUAUGGGUAGGGCUUCACACGUAAUACAAUGGCGCGUACAGAGGGUUGCCAAGCCGCGAGGUGGAGCUAAUCUCAGAAAGAGCGCGUCGUAGUCCGGAUUGCACUCUGCAACUCGAGUGCAUGAAGUCGGAAUCGCUAGUAAUCGCGGAUCAGAAUGUCGCGGUGAAUACGUUCCCGGGUCUUGUACACACCGCCCGUCACACCAUGGGAGUGGGUUCCACCAGAAGCAGGUAGUCUAACCGCAAGGAGGACGCUUGCCACGGUGGGAUUCAUGACUGGGGUG